This is a long non-coding RNA of Dicentrarchus labrax (European seabass), 1422 nucleotides long. RefSeq lists it as uncharacterized. Lineage: Eukaryota; Metazoa; Chordata; Actinopteri; Moronidae. The record is from RefSeq and is a predicted model, not a curated record. The transcript is spliced from 9 exons.
AAUUUACUUUCUAAACCACUUGUAAUUUUCCUCAAGAAGGUUAAACUAUGUUUUUUUUUAAACACUUCCUGUAGAUCCUUCACAUUAAAAGCCUUACAGUAAAGACAAAGGAUUAUGGCUUUUAGCUUGAAGCCGUUUUAGGAAGUCGAAGAAUUGAGGAAGAUUGAAAUUGUUGGCAGAAGGAGCUGGUGUGAGAGAGAGGAGGAUUAAUUAGUCUGCAGUCCACACUCCGGAGCAGAAGGUGGCGGUAGUGCACCCCAAAUGUUGGUUACCACUUCCAGUUCAAAAUGAAGAGAAGAAGAAGGUGGACAUUUUUCACAGCUACUGUUUUUGUGGAUUUCUUUCAGUGAAGUCCCGUGGGUGCUUUAGGCAGUUCUGGCUGAACCACAAACACAGUGAAGAGCCAGAGAUCAGAGAUCACUGCAGCAGCUGCAGGUGCAUCGCGUCCACUCGCACCAGAUAUCCGUGCUCCCUGUCGCUGUGCGGCUCCCCGAGGUUCAGCUGACACCCAGAUGCUGUUACGGGAGACGAACCAGGCCUCGGUCACGUCAGCUCCGUGACAUCGAAGCGACCGCGACACCGCAGCAAACCGGCGAUGACGGAUGCCUUUUUGUCUUCUGCAGUCAGGCCGCAUCGUCUAGCCUGCGGACGAUUGUAAUCGCACCGACAGGUGACACAUCUGUGGAAACCAGAAGAUGAUGGCGAAGACUACUUGGAUCAUGUGACCUGCACCUCACAUGCCUCCUCCGAGUACAGUGUUAAAAGAGGAUAAUCUGGCACAUUGACAUAAAGAACAGCACGCAAACAAGACUCCAGUCAAGAGCUCCUGUCACUUCCCCCUCCUCCCAGAGUUCAAGGUCGCCAUGUGGCUAUUUCCGGCUCGUCUUCGCUUUGAUCCGUGUCGCAAAAUGACAAGAUAUGCUGGUUCGGUGGGAAGAGGGCAGAGCAGUCACAAGGCAUGCUGGGAUAUGAGUCCUGUACGCUGUGUGUACCUCCAGCUACAAUUCUUGAAGAGAAGAGAUUCGCUCUUUCGGUGGGAAGAAUGCAAAGCACAAGGCAUGCUGGGUGAACCUCCAGCUACAAUUCUUGAAGAGAAGAGGGGCAAGAGUGAGUGAACCCAGGGCUGCGUUACUUAAAACAAGCUCCUGGAAGACCUUUUUGAUGUGGAUGGAAAAGCAGAGUGAGAGCUGACAGCCUCUCUGCUGCGGGUCAGAGGGCGUGAUGAUGCGGACGUAAGGUUUGUCAGGCUGGGCAGGGUCCUCAGAGAAAUAAUGCCGGCUCAGGUACUCCAGGUAACCUGUCAACAGGAGGGACUUCCUGCGCAGUGCCUGCAUACUGGUCUGGUUGAACACCUGGCAAAAUCAAAAAGGGACUUCAUGUAAAAAUGUGUUUGUUUCUGUAAAUAAACUGACCUGUUCUAAA